AUCAAACUUGGAGAUAGCUCGUACUCCCCGAAAUGCAUUUAGGUGCAGCCUCGGGUAAGGUACUGAUGAGAGGUAGAGCGACUGAUUGGAUGCGAGGGCUUCACCGCCUAUCAAGUCCGGCCAAACUCCGAAUGCUCAUCAGCAACAUCCCGGGAGUGAGGGCAUGGGUGCUAAGGUCCAUGUCCGAAAGGAGAAGAAUCCAGAUCACCGGCUAAGGUCCCCAAAUAGCAGCUAAGUUGCAUUAACGAAGUCCGACCGCAGCGACAGCCAGGAUGUUGGCUUGGAAGCAGCCAUUCAUUUAAAGAGUGCGUAACAGCUCACUGGUCGAGGGGUCGGGCAUGGAUAAUAAUCGGGCAUAAGCUGUUUACCGAAGCCGUGAGAUCGAAAAGAUCGGUAGGGGAGCAUUCCAUUAUCAGCGUUGAAGAUGAGAGGUGACUCUUGUUGGAGCGGAUGGAAAAGCAAAUGCAGGUAUAAGUAACGAUAAAGGGGGUGAAAAACCUCCUCGCCGAAAGACCAAGGGUUCCUGAUCAACGCUAAUCGGAUCAGGGUUAGUCGGGACCUAAGGCUAAGCCGAAGGGCGAUGCCGAUGGAAGAACCGGUUAAUAUUCCGGUACUGCUUUGUGGAGUGAUGUGGAGACGGAGAAGUGACAGCUCAGCCAUCUGACGGAAUAGGUGGUUAAAGGGUGUAAACGUUGAUUGUUGUAGGCAAAUCCGCAACAAGAGUUGAACCUAACAGUAUGCAGCGUACUUGUACAAUGUAAUAAGAGCGUAAUCAGGCUCCCAAGAAAACCCGCUAAACAUAUCUUCAAAGCACCCGUACUCGAAACGGACACACGUGGUCGGGUUGAAAAUACUAAGGCGCUCGAGUGAUUCACGGUUAAGGAACUAGGCAAAAUGGUCCUGUAACUUCGGGAUAAAGGACGCCAAUAGCAAUAUUGGUCGCAGAGAAUAGGCCCAGGCGACUGUUUAACAAAAACACAUGACUAUGCGAAAUCGAAAGAUGAUGUAUAUGGUCUGACACCUGCCCGGUGCUGGAAGGUUAAGAGGAGAUGUCAUCCUGCAAGGGAGAAGCAUUGAAUUGAAGCCCCAGUAAACGGCGGCCGUAACUAUAACGGUCCUAAGGUAGCGAAAUUCCUUGUCGGGUAAGUUCCGACCUGCACGAAUGGUGUAACGAUCUGGGCACUGUCUCAGCCACGAGCUCGGUGAAAUUGUAGUAUCGGUGAAGAUGCCGAUUACCCGCAAUGGGACGAAAAGACCCUGUGAACCUUUACUAUAACUUCGUAUUGACUUUGAGUAAGUAAUGUGUAGGAUAGGUGGGAGGCUAUGAAGCUGGCACGCUAGUGUUGGUGGAGCCGUUGUUGAAAUACCACCCUUUGCUUACUUGGAGCCUAACUUCUGAAUAAGAGUAAGAAGGACAUUGCGUGGUGGGUAGUUUGACUGGGGUGGUCGCCUCCAAAAGAGUAACGGAGGCUUUCAAAGGUACCCUCAGCACGCUUGGUAACCGUGCGUAGAGUGUAAUGGCAUAAGGGUGCUUGACUGUGAGACCAACAAGUCGAUCAGGUGCGAAAGCAGGACAUAGUGAUCCGGUGGUUCCGUAUGGAAGGGCCAUCGCUCAUAGGAUAAAAGGUACUCCGGGGAUAACAGGCUAGUCUCCCCCAAGAGCUCACAUCGACGGGGAGGUUCGGCACCUCGAUGUCGGCUCGUCACAUCCUGGGGCUGGAGAAGGUCCCAAGGGUU
RNAcentral lists this ribosomal RNA (1737 nucleotides) under human metagenome. RNAcentral describes it as "bacterial LSU rRNA". It matches the Rfam family "Bacterial large subunit ribosomal RNA", at positions 832 to 2573 of the family's 2925-position model. The record is from RNAcentral.